GAGGUUAAGCGACUAAGCGUACACGGUGGAUGCCCUGGCAGUCAGAGGCGAUGAAGGACGUGCUAAUCUGCGAUAAGCGCCGGUAAGGUGAUAUGAACCGUUAUAACCGGCGAUUUCCGAAUGGGGAAACCCAGUGUGACUCGUCACACUAUCAUUAACUGAAUCCAUAGGUUAAUGAGGCGAACCGGGGGAACUGAAACAUCUAAGUACCCCGAGGAAAAGAAAUCAACCGAGAUUCCCCCAGUAGCGGCGAGCGAACGGGGAGGAGCCCAGAGCCUGAAUCAGCAUGUGUGUUAGUGGAAGCGUCUGGAAAGGCGCGCGAUACAGGGUGACAGCCCCGUACACAAAAGCGCAUGUGCUGUGAGCUCGAUGAGUAGGGCGGGACACGUGGUAUCCUGUCUGAAUAUGGGGGGACCAUCCUCCAAGGCUAAAUACUCCUGACUGACCGAUAGUGAACCAGUACCGUGAGGGAAAGGCGAAAAGAACCCCGGCGAGGGGAGUGAAAAAGAACCUGAAACCGUGUACGUACAAGCAGUGGGAGCACCCUUUGGGGUGUGACUGCGUACCUUUUGUAUAAUGGGUCAGCGACUUAUAUUCUGUAGCAAGGUUAACCGAAUAGGGGAGCCGGAGGGAAACCGAGUCUUAAUUGGGCGUUAAGUUGCAGGGUAUAGACCCGAAACCCGGUGA
RNAcentral lists this ribosomal RNA (687 nucleotides) under Salmonella enterica. Its description in RNAcentral is "partial 23S ribosomal RNA". It matches the Rfam family "Bacterial large subunit ribosomal RNA", at positions 1 to 728 of the family's 2925-position model. Lineage: Bacteria; Pseudomonadati; Pseudomonadota; Gammaproteobacteria; Enterobacterales; Enterobacteriaceae. The record is from RNAcentral.